Molecule: transfer RNA, 18 nt
Filed under: Carlius sp. ASP11
Lineage: Eukaryota; Metazoa; Arthropoda; Insecta; Phasmatodea; Phasmatidae
Description: partial tRNA-Leu
Source: RNAcentral
UAAAAACUUUUAUUAGAA